This 1884-nucleotide long non-coding RNA is filed under the name Apis dorsata (giant honeybee). RNAcentral's name for it is "uncharacterized LOC116186861". The record is from RNAcentral. Lineage: Eukaryota; Metazoa; Arthropoda; Insecta; Hymenoptera; Apidae.
AGGAAAGGAAUUAAAAAUAUUAAGAUGAAGGGAUUGAUACACGAAUAAGAAGUUCAAAUCGACAAAGAAGAGAUUUAAAAUUAACUUAAUAAAUUAAAUGAUUAAUCAAACGUUUUACAUUCUUCUUAUAUAUAUGUAAUCUUACAUAUAUGUAAUCUCUUCCAGUUCUGAAAAUAGCUAUAGAUCGCAAAAAUGAAUAACCAUCAAUACACAUAAUAUAUACAAAUAUAUAUAUAUGUACAUAUUUAAGGCUUACUGGAAAACUAAAACAACAGACAGACUCAACCACUCACGAGACAUAUGUAUACUAAUCGUCGUUGCCUGUUAGGGCAUCAAUCAAAUAUCAAUCAAGACUCCAUUUUACCUGAGUUCAGAAUGGAGCCUUGCGUGGGCCGAAAUAGUUGUAGAAGUAGUAGACGUAGUGUUAUAAACAGAGGAACAGAGAGAUAAGUUGCGUAUAUUAAUAUAACUUGGAAUUGAUCGUUCAAUUUUGCUACAAAAUUCGCUAAUUAUAUAAUAAGGCAUUUUUAAAAAGAAAUUCUUGUGACAAAAGUGGUGGAGCUUAAGUGUCGCUGCUAAUAAUAAACGCUAGGCAGAUCUGAGAAAAAAAUGGAUCGUUUUUCUUUUCUUCUUUCUCUCUUUUUUUUUUUUUCUCUUCUUUUACCAUGCUCAACUCUCUUUUCAAUGAUCGUGAUCUUCGUGAAUCACAUUUCGAAUGAGAUUUCAUCGAACUAGAAAAAUCGCGUUAACGAAAGAAUCGUGCGUAAAAGUUGAACAUAGCGUGGUGACAUAACAGUAUGAUAGAAGCUGUAAAUAGAAUAAAUACGAAGUUUCAAUGUGUAGUGGUAAUUUGCUAAGAGGGAGAUCGAUAUUACCAAACAUCUUUAAGGAGAGUGAUCAAACGUUUGACGGUGUUUGUUCUAAAAACAACAUAUCCAAUACCAAAGGAAGACAUAACAGUGGAAUUUUAAAACAGUCAAAAACUAGGGCAAAUCUUAAAGUGACUAUCAUGGCAAGGUGAGAUAUAUAUAUAUAUAUAUGUAUAUAUAAUAUUAAAAAACACUGCAUAAGCCACAUUUCAUAAAUGAAUGAAUAGACUUUUCGUCAAAUAUAAUUCAAGAAAGCGAAAAAAUCAAGGCAACCAGAAGUGAUCGAAAAAACGUAAGUAAAUCGGUAUAUAUAUAUUUUUUUUCUAAGACUAAGGUCUUCAAAACACAGUGCCAUUAAAAUUUAUCAAAGCGUUUAAAUAUUAUCGAUAAUUCAAUUGUGAUUUAAGCAAACUAAGAUGUUGCAUUCAUUAAAUGAUGAAAUUCGCAUAAGAUUAUAAAUUCGUAAAUUCCAAUCAAAGAAUAAAAUAAAAUAAAAAAAAAAAAGAAAGAAAGAAAAAAAAUAGAAAAAAGAAAAACAAAGAAAAAACGUUAAAAAUAAAAUUCGAUUAAAUUUUAUGUAAGUAGCAAUCCAUUUAGCAUAAAUAAUUCUGCGUUCAGUGUAGCAAGCUCUGUAUCAAAGAGCAGCGUAAUAACGAAACAAAAUAAGAUUUGAUUUGCUAAAUUUGCUACGCCUUCAUCAACAUCAUGGCAAAAACGCUUGCGGAGCAAAAGAACUCUCUUGCAAGAAAUUUUGGAAUUACCUUUUUGUUGGCGUGCUUAUGGUAGUACCGUUGGAUAUUGUUAACAGUUAUUAUGAACAAUAGUAACGUGUUAAUUCAAUCGUUGAUUAAUUACGAUUAAGAUAUUAAAAGUGAUAUGCGAUAUCAGUUGUAUUAUAAUAAAAUGGAUUACUACAGAAUGAACGGUGAACUAAUGAAUGAGAAGAUGAAUUGUAUGAGUGAAUAUAUUUUGUGUGAACAAUAAAAAAAGAAUCCUUUAGUUUAUUAUUAUCUUA